This 468-nucleotide ribosomal RNA is filed under the name uncultured bacterium. RNAcentral's name for it is "partial 16S ribosomal RNA". It matches the Rfam family "Bacterial small subunit ribosomal RNA", at positions 28 to 507 of the family's 1533-position model. The record is from RNAcentral.
GACGAACGCUGGCGCAGGGAGGAACACAGGCAAGUCGAACGGAAAGGCCCUGCUGUUGUGGGGUGCUCGAGUGGCGAACGGGUGAGUAACACGUGAGUAACCUGCCCUUGACUUUGGGAUAACUUCAGGAAACUGGGGCUAAUACCGGAUAGGAGCUCCUGCUGCAUGGUGGGGGUUGGAAAGUUUCGGCGGUUGGGGAUGGACUCGCGGCUUAUCAGCUUGUUGGUGGGGUAGUGGCUUACCACGGCUUUGACGGGGCGCCGGCCUGGGAGGGUGACCGGCCACAUUGGGACUGAGAUACGGCCCAGACUCCUACGGGACGCAGCAGUGGGGAAUAUUGCACAAUGGGCGGAAGCCUGAUGCAGCAACUCCCCGUGCGGGAUGACGGCCUUCGGGUUGUAAACCGCUUUCGCCUGUGACGAAGCGUGAGUGACGGUAAUGGGUAAAGAAGCACCGGCUAACUACGUG